RNAcentral lists this ribosomal RNA (445 nucleotides) under uncultured bacterium. RNAcentral's name for it is "bacterial SSU rRNA". It matches the Rfam family "Bacterial small subunit ribosomal RNA", at positions 354 to 796 of the family's 1533-position model. The record is from RNAcentral.
GUAGGGAAUAUUGGGCAAUGGAGGCAACUCUGACCCAGCCAUGCCGCGUGCAGGAUGACGGCCCUCUGGGUUGUAAACUGCUUUUAUACGGGAAGAAAAAAUACUACGUGUAGUAUACUGACGGUACCGUAAGAAUAAGGAUCGACUAACUCCGUGCCAGCAGCCGCGGUAAUACGGAGGAUCCAAGCGUUGUCCGGAUUUAUUGGGUUUAAAGGGUGCGUAGGCGGAUCUUUAAGUCAGUGGUGAAAGCCUGCAGCUUAACUGUAGAAUUGCCAUUGAAACUGAAGAUCUUGAAUGUGGUUAAAGUAGGCGGAAUGUAUCAUGUAGCGGUGAAAUGCUUAGAUAUGAUACAGAACACCGAUAGCGAAGGCAGCUUGCUGAACCAUUAUUGACGCUGAGGCACGAAAGCGUGGGGAGCGAACAGGAUUAGAUACCCGUGUAGUCC